GGCUCGUUGGUCUAGGGGUUUGAUUCUCGCGUGCGAGAGGUCCCGGGUUCAAAUCCUGGAAGAGCCC
This is a non-coding RNA of Danionella cerebrum, 67 nucleotides long. The record is from the annotation of a GenBank genome assembly. Lineage: Eukaryota; Metazoa; Chordata; Actinopteri; Cypriniformes; Danionidae.